CUGGGUUUUCACCAUAAGUAACGGUAAACAAUGUCGCCUUUUUCUGCUGUGCUGCAUGGAUUAUAUGAAGCUCUAGAAACCAGUUUGUUCAUGAGAGGAAAACAAUAGCAGGACGAGAUUUAUCAAAAAGAGUUCAAAGUUACAUAGCAAAAAUUGAUGGAUCGGAAGAAAAACCACCUACUUUAGGUGAUAACAGAAGACAGAGACAGAUCACAAGAAAUGUCAAAGCAACUAUCUAUUUUGAUGCAGCAUUCGACAGCAAAUAUUCAAGAUCGACCUCGGCCCUGGUUGUGCGGGGGGAGAUGGAUGAGUUUC
This 315-nucleotide long non-coding RNA is filed under the name Gossypium barbadense (sea-island cotton). RNAcentral's name for it is "long non-coding RNA (GBAR_LNC009292)". The record is from RNAcentral. Lineage: Eukaryota; Viridiplantae; Streptophyta; Magnoliopsida; Malvales; Malvaceae.